This 253-nucleotide ribosomal RNA is filed under the name uncultured bacterium. RNAcentral's name for it is "partial 16S ribosomal RNA". It matches the Rfam family "Bacterial small subunit ribosomal RNA", at positions 524 to 776 of the family's 1533-position model. The record is from RNAcentral.
UACAGAGGUCUCAAGCGUUGUUCGGAUUCAUUGGGCGUAAAGGGUGUGUAGGCGUUUUGUCGCGUCUGCUGUGAAAUUUCGGGGCUCAACCCCGAACUUGCAGUGGGUACGGGCAGACUAGAGUGUGGUAGGGGAGACUGGAAUUCCUGGUGUAGCGGUGAAAUGCGCAGAUAUCAGGAGGAACACCGAUGGCGAAGGCAGGUCUCUGGGCCACUACUGACGCUGAGAAGCGAAAGCAUGGGGAGCGAACAGG